This is a long non-coding RNA of Arabidopsis lyrata subsp. lyrata, 1866 nucleotides long. RefSeq lists it as uncharacterized. The record is from RefSeq and is a predicted model, not a curated record. The transcript is spliced from 7 exons. NCBI's taxonomy places the organism in Eukaryota, Viridiplantae, Streptophyta, Magnoliopsida, Brassicales, Brassicaceae.
UCGUCAACCUUCGACGCUUCUUCUCUCUUUCUAGAUUCUGGGUUUCAUCACACCAACCCACCUCUUUACUCCCUUGUUCUUCAUUCCUUUCUCAUUGACAUCGUUCUUCUUCUUUGCAGGAUCAAUCGGAGAGUUCAAUCUCAACACUCCCUCUUGAGCUCUUCGAUUGAUAUCUAGAUUUGAUUUUAAAACAGUGAAAUUUGAUACCUUUGGUUUCAGUUGAACGAACGCAGAUUUCACCGGAGGUGCUCUUCUUAGUGCAUCAGCAUAGCUCACAGUCUUCUUUUGCAGAUACUCGGAAUUGAAAUCGAUGCCUCCAAACUUGACUGCACUUGAUUUUUCAAUUAGAGGUCUCUUCUCUAGUCCACUUUUGCUCCCUCUCAAUCUUAGCUCCGAUCUUCUUUGGUUGAUACAUCACAGAUUUGUUCUUCUCUUCAGCUUUUUUCUCAGUACACCAAGAUUGCAUCAUCUUUUGAUUUUCGACUUCAGUGUGUCCAGCAUCUUGACGACCAGAUUCAACAUUUUCUUUCGCAACCACCAUUGUAGCUUCUUCAUUUGCUGACAUUUUUAGAUGGAAACUCUUCUUGAUCAUUGGUAUCUCUGCUAUCUUUCUCCCAGCUGGAUCAUGAAUGGUACAGCCUCUUUGAUCGAAGCUCCAUUACCUACACGUAUAGGAACAUUGAAGCUUGUGUUGAGAUUUGAGAAUAGCUUUUCAUCUGAAGACAUAUGAUUUGUGCAUCCACUAUCAAUGAGCCAGACAUUCUCUCCAGGUGAUUCUUGAUCCUCUUGUCUUGCAGUAAACAUGUGGUAGCUUUCUUCUGCUUCAUUGUCUUCUUGGUUGACUUGUGCUUGUUCUCCAUUCUUGACUUUGCAGUCUUUUAUUAGAUGACCCACUUUGCCACAGUGAAAACAACUCCAAUUCCUAGUGUCUCUGUUUUUGUUGAAAUCAGGUCUGAUUUUUCCACUCUUAAUCCAACAUACAUCUUCAUUGUGAUUAUCUCUUUUGCAGUAACCACACCAUCUUUUUGCUCUGUAACUCGUUUGACCUGAAUUCUCUUUGUUCUUGUCUUCCACAUUUAAACUUCUGAACCGUGCAUGAAAGGCUCCUUCUGCAUCUUCUUCAUCUUCAGGGAAGAAUUUCUUUUCAUGUGCCUCAAGAGAUCCAAGCAGCUCAGCAUAGGUAACUGUUUGUAAAUCCUUAGUUUCUUCCAUUAAGGAUGACAGACCAGCAUAACUUUUUGGCAUAGAGGCUAGCAUUUUUACCACUAAAUCAAAGUUUGAUUUCCCUUCACCUAGAGCUCUCAUCUAAUUUGCUACAGCCUGAAUCCUAUCCGAAGUGCUCCAGGAGUUUCCAUGCUUGGUGUGAUGAAGAUGCAGAGAGGAUCUUGUCAAAGACCACAUCAGCCACAGCAUGCUGAAUAAUUUGGAGAGCAGCAGUGUCUUUAGCUUUUAGGGCCUUCAGGGCAGCAUCUUUUCCUUUAUCUGGAGUUUCAGUUGAUUGAGUUGUAGCUUCUGGUACUCCAUCUUUGACGACUUCCCAUAGAUCUUUAUUCAAGAGUGUAGUUUUCAUUCUUGCAGCCCAGAACUCAUAGUUCUGACCAUCAAAGACUGCAACCAGUUGAGAGGACUGCAAGUUCAACGCCAUGUUCCAAGAACAAGAUGAGCUCUGAUACCAUGUUGUUUUUCUGCUUAGAUCACAGGUUUGUUUUGUUUUUCUCUUAAACUUUCAUACUUUUCAUAGAUAGAAAAAACUUACAACAUCUCUUAAACACAUAUAUAGAGAUUGCACACUUGCACACAUAGUUUCUUUGCCAUAACUCUAGAUACUAGGAUCACUUACACAAGCAACACCACUUGUGUAUAGGU